CGAGGCGGGCCGGCACGUUUACUUUGAACAAAUUAGAGUGCUUAAAGCAGGCUAAAACUUCGCCUGAAUAUCGUGUGCAUGGAAUAAUGGAAUAGGACCUCGGUUCUAUUUUGUUGGUUUUCGGAACCCCGAGGUAAUGAUUAAUAGGAACGGAUGGGGGCAUUCGUAUUGCGACGUUAGAGGUGAAAUUCUUGGAUCGUCGCAAGACGGACGGAAGCGAAAGCAUUUGCCAAAAACGCUUUCAUUGAUCAAGAACGAAAGUUAGAGGUUCGAAGGCGAUCAGAUACCGCCCUAGUUCUAACCAUAAACGAUGCCAGCUAGCGAUCCGCCGACGUUCCUCCGAUGACUCGGCGGGCAGCUUCCGGGAAACCAAAGCUUUUGGGUUCCGGGGGAAGUAUGGUUGCAAAGCUGAAACUUAAAGGAAUUGACGGAAGGGCACCACCAGGAGUGGAGCCUGCGGCUUAAUUUGACUCAACACGGGAAACCUCACCAGGCCCGGACACCGGAAGGAUUGACAGAUUGAGAGCUCUUUCUUGAUUCGGUGGGUGGUGGUGCAUGGCCGUUCUUAGUUGGUGGAGCGAUUUGUCUGGUUAAU
This 595-nucleotide ribosomal RNA is filed under the name Phengodes frontalis. RNAcentral describes it as "SSU rRNA". It matches the Rfam family "Eukaryotic small subunit ribosomal RNA", at positions 734 to 1323 of the family's 1831-position model. Lineage: Eukaryota; Metazoa; Arthropoda; Insecta; Coleoptera; Phengodidae. The record is from RNAcentral.